Molecule: ribosomal RNA, 465 nt
Filed under: uncultured bacterium
Lineage: Bacteria
Description: partial 16S ribosomal RNA
Rfam family: Bacterial small subunit ribosomal RNA
Source: RNAcentral
CCUACGGGUGGCAGCAGUGGGGAAUAUUGCGCAAUGGGCGAAAGCCUGACGCAGCGACGCCGCGUGAGGGAUGAAGGUCUUCGGAUCGUAAACCUCUGUCAGCAGGGAAGAACGGUCACUGUGCUAAUCAGCAGUGACUUUACGGUACCUGCACAGGAAGCACCGGCGAACUCCGUGCCAGCAGCCGCGGUAAUACGGAGGGUGCGGACGUUAGUCGGAAUUACUGGGCGUAAAGCGCUCGUAGGCGGUAUGGCAAGGCAAGGGUGAAAUCCCCGCGCUCAACGUGGGAACUGCCUUGGAAACUGGCAAACUGGAGUGUGUGAGAGGAUAGUGGAAUUCCAGGUGUAGGAGUGAAAUCCGUAGAUAUCUGGAGGAACAUCAGUGGCGAAGGCGACUAUCUGGCACAUAACUGACGCUGAGGAGCGAAAGCGUGGGUAGCAAACAGGAUUAGAUACCCCUGUAGUC